GUCGCGACGGGCGCCGUGCUUGGCGAAGGCUUCUUCUUCGAGAGGGAACAUCCAGCGGAGCCAAGGGAUGUGCUCGGCCAUAGCCAGGGAGGCGCCGAGCUUGAGGCCAUUGGCGACAAUGGCCUUGAAUUCCAAGCCCUGUUCAUCCAUAACGCCAUUGGAAUUCACAAACCUCUUCCCAAAUGCGAGCCUUGUGAUGUUGUUGAAUGAAACUGCUCCCAGAAACUCCCUCAGCUUCAAGCUCUUUCCAUAGUUCUCAGAAUUAGUGCAGUGGUUGAAGAUGUCUUCAACCAUGGCGGAAACUUCAUCUUCU
Molecule: unclassified non-coding RNA, 313 nt
Filed under: Hevea brasiliensis (rubber tree)
Lineage: Eukaryota; Viridiplantae; Streptophyta; Magnoliopsida; Malpighiales; Euphorbiaceae
Source: RNAcentral